GGAUAGUCAAAUAUGGUGUCUUGUAAUAAAUAUAUAAGGUAGUAGUAAGCAGUGACCUCAUGUGUUGUACUUGAGCCUAUAAAUAAGGCAGCAUAGUUUGUAGGUAAAAAUAUAGAACACACACUGAGAAAAACUACAACAGCAGUUGUAGAGAGAAAUUAUAUGAGCUGAAGCUCUUGAGAGAAAAGUAAGGCUGAAGCCUAGUGUGUAGCAAAAUUAUAAGUAUUGUAGC
This 232-nucleotide long non-coding RNA is filed under the name Daucus carota (carrot). RNAcentral's name for it is "long non-coding RNA (DCAR_LNC005099)". The record is from RNAcentral. Lineage: Eukaryota; Viridiplantae; Streptophyta; Magnoliopsida; Apiales; Apiaceae.